GCCCGCUCAGAAACUACAAAGGAAGUUGACGGGGGCCCGCACAAGCGGUGGAGCAUGUGGUUUAAUUCGAUGAUACGCGAGGAACCUUACCUGGGCUCAAAUGUAUGUUGACGUAUUCUGAAAGGGAUACUUCUUCGGACAAUAUACAAGGUGCUGCAUGGUUGUCGUCAGCUCGUGCCGUGAGGUGUCGGGUUAAGUCCCAUAACGAGCGCAACCCCUAUCAUUAGUUGCCAUCAGGUCAAGCUGGGGACUCUAAUGAAACUGCCUACGCAAGUAGUGAGGAAGUGGGGAUGACGUCAAAUCAGCACGGCCCUUACGUCCAGGGCUACACACGUGCUACAAUGGCCGGUACAAAGGGCAGCUACCUGGUGACAGGAUGCUAAUCUCAAAAGCCGGUCUCAGUUCGGAUCGGAGUCUGCAACCCGACUCCGUGAGGCUGGAAUCGCUAGUAAUCGCGCAUCAGCCAUGGCGCGGUGAAUACGUUCCCGGGCCUU
Molecule: ribosomal RNA, 494 nt
Filed under: uncultured Sphingobacteriales bacterium
Lineage: Bacteria; Pseudomonadati; Bacteroidota; Sphingobacteriia; Sphingobacteriales
Description: bacterial SSU rRNA
Rfam family: Bacterial small subunit ribosomal RNA
Source: RNAcentral